AGAGAUGUGUGAUGACGCAUAUCAAUAAGCGGAGGAAAAGAAACUAACAAGGAUUCCCUUAGUAACGGCGAGUGAAGCGGGAAGAGCUCAAAUUUGAAAUCUUCAAGGGUUCUACCUUUACGAAUUGUAGUUUAUAGAAGUGUUUUCUGUUAGUAGAGUCGGCUAAAAGUUCUUUGGAAUAGGACAUCAUAGAGGGUGAGAAUCCCGUAUUUGACCAUUAUCUUCCAGCUGUGUGAUACACUUUCAAAGAGUCGGAUUGUUUGGGAAUGCAGUCCAAAAUGGGUGGUAAAUUUCAUCUAAAGCUAAAUAUUGGCGAGAGACCGAUAGCGAACAAGUACCGUGAGGGAAAGAUGAAAAGAACUUUGAAAAGAGAGUUAAACAGUACGUGAAAUUGUCAAAAGGGAAGCGUUUGACACCAGUGUUGUUUUCUCGAAAAUCAAUUAAAAAGAUGCCGAUUUUGUGUUGUAUUGACUUUAUCAGCUUUCUGCACUUUUUUCUUGUCUUUUUUAAUGCACUUUUCGUUUAACAAGUCAACAUCAAUUUCUUUUGUUGUAAAAGAGUCAUUGGAAGGUGGCUUUCAUUUCGGUGAAAGUGUUUAUAGCCUUUGACUUCUGCAAUCGGAGAGAUUGAGGUCUGCAGCGUAGAUCCUUCGGGGUUAGAUACAUUUGUGCUAAGUUAUAGUUUUUCAUAGACAACAUGUUGACUAUGAUUAAUCAUGUAGCUUACUCGCUUAUGCUAUUUUACCUACGCUUAGGAUGUUGAUAGUCACAGCGUGUAC
This 778-nucleotide ribosomal RNA is filed under the name uncultured Neocallimastigales. Its description in RNAcentral is "partial large subunit ribosomal RNA". It matches the Rfam family "Eukaryotic large subunit ribosomal RNA", at positions 23 to 634 of the family's 3401-position model. The record is from RNAcentral. Lineage: Eukaryota; Fungi; Neocallimastigomycota; Neocallimastigomycetes; Neocallimastigales.